Molecule: long non-coding RNA, 570 nt
Filed under: Mytilus galloprovincialis (Mediterranean mussel)
Lineage: Eukaryota; Metazoa; Mollusca; Bivalvia; Mytilida; Mytilidae
Source: RNAcentral
AUUUUGUAUUAAUAUGAUCUUGUCUAUAUGCCAGCUUUGAUUGUUUGGAAUGUCUACUGGUUUUCCCUUCUACGUACUGCAUUUGUAUGAACAUCAAGAUUGUUCUCCUUGGGUCUGUGCAGGGAAGUUUUGGCUAGCUCUAUUGUAUAGUUUUAUUGUUGAUAUUCAUCCCAAUUUGUAUCUAGUGUUGAAUUGUGUAUUUAUAUGACAGGAUAUUCCUAAUUAUUGGAAGAGUUUUAUGCACAAGGGUGGUAUACCUAGGACGACAAAGUUGUUUUUCAUUUGGCUGUAGAUAUUGUUAAAACCGUUUUUUUUUCAGGGGUGAUUAUUUUCGGAGGGCUAAAUAUUUCGCUGUGGUGUCUUGCCAUGGCUUUAUUUGGACUUGUUUAUUUGCUUUUUGGCAUUGAGUGUUUGUCCCUGAUGUUCUAUUGGCUGUGCAUUUGCAUUUAGGUAUCGCAGAUCAAAUUAUUCGUUCAUAGUGUGUUGAUUUGCGUUUUUUGAUUGAGUUAAGCCUUCCAGUUGAUAUUUUAUCAUGUGUUUUUCUAUGUUGUGGUGUUAUACUGUUGUUUU